Enhydra lutris kenyoni (northern sea otter) is the source of this 625-nucleotide long non-coding RNA. RefSeq lists it as uncharacterized. Lineage: Eukaryota; Metazoa; Chordata; Mammalia; Carnivora; Mustelidae. The record is from RefSeq and is a predicted model, not a curated record. The transcript is spliced from 2 exons.
AGCCCUGCUCACCCGGCGCGCGCCGAUGUGCUGCUGCGUCCUCCGGGCCACCAGCCCGCCGCCUCUCGAGGCCAGGGACCCUCCCCGAGCAGUGCGGGUGCGGCCCACCUGCUCGCAACGAAACUCCUGCUCGUCUGGAUUCCCCUGAGGGUGUGCGCUGGGUCAGCCCGCGCGUGUCUGCGGAGACGGUCCCUCAUCACACUCUCCACGGGAUCCGAGGACUGAGAACCCCUGCACUAUGUUUAACUUAUUUGAGAUGUCGUUGUCACUUAGAGUCGGGCCCACUCUUGCUUAAGAAACCAACUUGGAUUUGCAAGGAUGGCAGGCUCAGCGCCACUUGCCAGCAACACCCAAUCACUGCCACCUUCCUUUCCAAGAUGUCCAUCCAGAUAAGCCCCAAGUGUGAAUUAAACUGUAUUGCCGACAGAGACACCGACAACUAAAAUAUUAUGCUACAACACUGGCCACGAAGGAGCGCUGGUUGCUGUGACCAGGUCUGUUACUUCAUGAGCCAUCUAGUGAAACUUCUAGAGAACUGAUGAACAACAAAACACAACUUCAUCUAUGCUUUUAUCUCCUUGUAUUGCUCUUGGAACUGCACUCAUUAAAAUGUGUUCGUUUUGCA